This 465-nucleotide ribosomal RNA is filed under the name uncultured bacterium. Its description in RNAcentral is "bacterial SSU rRNA". It matches the Rfam family "Bacterial small subunit ribosomal RNA", at positions 338 to 795 of the family's 1533-position model. The record is from RNAcentral.
CCUACGGGAGGCACCAGUGGGGAAUAUUGCACAAUGGGCGCAAGCCUGAUGCAGCCAUGCCGCGUGUAUGAAGAAGGCCUUCGGGUUGUAAAGUACUUUUAGCGGGGAGGAAGGUGUUGUGGUUAAUAACCACAGCAAUUGACGUUACCCGCAGAAGAAGCACCGGCUAACUCCGUGCCAGCAGCCGCGGUAAUACGGAGGGUGCAAGCGUCAAUCGGAAUUACUGGGCGUAAAGCGCACGCAGGCGGUCUGUCAAGUCGGAUGUGAAAUCCCCGGGUUCAACCUGGGAACUGCAUUCGAAACUGGCGGGCUAGAGUCUUGUAGAGGGGGGUAGAAUUCCAGGUGUAGCGGUGAAAUGCGUAGAGAUCUGGAGGAAUACCGGUGGCGAAGGCGGCCCCCUGGACAAAGACUGACGCUCAGGUGCGAAAGCGUGGGGAGCAAACAGGAUUAGAUACCCCGGUAGUC